This 304-nucleotide unclassified non-coding RNA is filed under the name uncultured Glomerales. Its description in RNAcentral is "sequence contains 18S rRNA gene". The record is from RNAcentral. RNAcentral also lists the same sequence under 1 other name. Lineage: Eukaryota; Fungi; Glomeromycota; Glomeromycetes; Glomerales; Glomeraceae.
CCCAACUAUCCCUAUUAAUCAUUACGUCGAACCUAUUUCGUUAUUCCAUGCUAAUGUAUUCAAGCGCGAGCCUGCUUUAAGCACUCUAAUUUUUUCAAAGUAACAGUCCUGUUUCCCCGCAACAACAAAUUAAUGCCAUCACGGUUCUACAAGAAGGAGGGACCAGUGAGGCCAGUGCAUACCAGUGGCACGACCAACCUACUGGCCCCGAAAUUCAACUACGAGCUUUUUAACUGCAACAACUUUAAUAUACGCUAUUGGAGCUGGAAUUACCGCGGCUGCUGGCACCAGACUUGCCCUCCAA